This 1360-nucleotide long non-coding RNA is filed under the name Sus scrofa (pig). RNAcentral describes it as "lncRNA (ENSSSCG00070015182.1)". The record is from RNAcentral. Lineage: Eukaryota; Metazoa; Chordata; Mammalia; Artiodactyla; Suidae.
AUGGAAGCUGGAUUGGACUCAGCAGCUAAGCAGUGGGCUCCCAUGGGGUGGAGCCACAAAGCACAGAAACAUCAGCUGGAUGAGGAAGGAAGCAGCGGGGGCAUUUGCUGCUCACCUUACAGACAGGGCCCCCCAGGGAAUUCCCGUGCUAAGGUGACAGAGCCACACUCAACCUACUUGGACUGAAGGGCCACUACUUGGAAGGUGGCUGCCUGGGCCUGCAGGACGCUUUUAUGUAAGUGAUUAGUGAAGUUUUGUUCUAUUAAGCCACAGAGGUAUCGGGCCUAUUUGUUACCAAGUACAACCUAGCCUUUGCUGACUAAUCCAAUGUUGGUUGAAAAGUCCGGGGGUGCAUGGAAGCAUCUUCACAGCAAAUUAACUGACACCCCUUUGGUUGGCAUGCCUUCUUUUUGGUCUCCUUUUUAUUGAAUAACCUUCUUACUUAGUGAGACACCGAGAACACUUUGACUUUUCCUUCCAUCACUCCCAUGCUUCCCAAACCUGCUCCAACAUGCACCCUUUCUUUAGUUGCUCAUCUCACUUACCAGCCUUUGAAUAUCAUCUCCUUGGAUUUUCUCCUGUACCUCUGCUCUUGCUGAACCUUGGAAUUGGUCAGUACAUGCUACCCUAUUAUUAUUAUUUUUGUUUUUAAGGCUGCACCCACAGCAUAUGGAAAUUCCUAGGCUAGGGGUCAAAUCAGAGCUGCAGCUGCCAGCCUACACCACAGCCACGGCAAUGCCAGACCCAACCUGUGUCUGCAACCUAUGCCACAGAUCCUGGCAACACUGGAUCCUUAACCCACUGAGCGAGACCAGGGAUUGAACCUGAGCCCUCAUGGAUACUAGUUGGGUUUGUUACCCCUGAGCCACAAUGGGAACUCCCACACUACAUUCAUUACUGAAAGAAGAGUCCACCUCCAAUGCCAAGUUCACACACCUGCUCUCAGGGAUGGAGGGCUGACUCUCCCUACUUUCUGAGCGAUGGCAUUCCACUUGGUCUGGGGUUGGUCACACUCUACCUUAGUUGGCUAGUGGCACCUCGCUUUUCCACUCUGUUGUGAGUUCUGCAGAUGAAAUAACAAUGCAGGGCCGUGUAGACUCGUGCCUGGCCCGUGAGAUAUUUACAGACUGUCAAGGUUAAAAAUGUUCUCUUCUUCUUUGUAGAAAUAUGCUAAUCACAAUUACAGUUAUCAUUAGAUAGACACCCUUCCUGCCCUCCAAGAUUCAAGUCAGUACCGGGAAUUGCAUCAAUUAAAACAGUAUUUAAUUGUGAGACCUUCAGCAAGUUCGCUUUUAUGGACAUGGCUGUAGUCCACAAAAUGGGGUAAAUAGAGCAAAUAAAGCCGUCACUGUCAAGGUCA